RNAcentral lists this ribosomal RNA (595 nucleotides) under uncultured Staphylococcus sp. Its description in RNAcentral is "bacterial SSU rRNA". It matches the Rfam family "Bacterial small subunit ribosomal RNA", at positions 26 to 610 of the family's 1533-position model. The record is from RNAcentral. Lineage: Bacteria; Bacillati; Bacillota; Bacilli; Caryophanales; Staphylococcaceae.
GGGGUAAGUGGCGGCGGCUAUAAUGCAGUCGAGCGAACAGAUAAGGAGCUUGCUCCUUUGACGUUAGCGGCGGACGGGUGAGUAACACGUGGGUAACCUACCUAUAAGACUGGGAUAACUUCGGGAAACCGGAGCUAAUACCGGAUAACAUUUGGAACCGCAUGGUUCUAAAGUGAAAGAUGGUUUUGCUAUCACUUAUAGAUGGACCCGCGCCGUAUUAGCUAGUUGGUAAGGUAACGGCUUACCAAGGCAACGAUACGUAGCCGACCUGAGAGGGUGAUCGGCCACACUGGAACUGAGACACGGUCCAGACUCCUACGGGAGGCAGCAGUAGGGAAUCUUCCGCAAUGGGCGAAAGCCUGACGGAGCAACGCCGCGUGAGUGAUGAAGGGUUUCGGCUCGUAAAACUCUGUUAUUAGGGAAGAACAAAUGUGUAAGUAACUGUGCAGAUCUUGACGGUACCUAAUCAGAGGGCCACGGCUAACUACGUGCCGGCAGCCGCGGUAAUACGUAGGUGGCAAGGAUUAUCCGGAAUUAUUGGGCGUAAACGCUCGUGGAGUGUGCUGGGGUGGGGGAUGGGAGCCGCCGGGGGGAU